RNAcentral lists this ribosomal RNA (253 nucleotides) under uncultured bacterium. Its description in RNAcentral is "partial 16S ribosomal RNA". It matches the Rfam family "Bacterial small subunit ribosomal RNA", at positions 524 to 776 of the family's 1533-position model. The record is from RNAcentral.
UACGGAGGGGGCUAGCGUUGUUCGGAAUUACUGGGCGUAAAGGGCGCGUAGGCGGCCUUCUAAGUCGAACGUGAAAUCCCCGGGCUCAACCCGGGAACUGCGUCCGAUACUGGAAGGCUUGAAUCCGGGAGAGGGAUGUGGAAUUCCAGGUGUAGCGGUGAAAUGCGUAGAUAUCUGGAGGAACACCGGUGGCGAAGGCGACAUCCUGGUCCGGUAUUGACGCUGAGGCGCGAAAGCCAGGGGAGCAAACGGG